This is an RNA transcript of Cephus cinctus (wheat stem sawfly), 5437 nucleotides long. It is a transcript of the gene named protein diaphanous, with no coding region annotated. The transcript has 17 exons. The record is from RefSeq and is a predicted model, not a curated record. NCBI's taxonomy places the organism in Eukaryota, Metazoa, Arthropoda, Insecta, Hymenoptera, Cephidae.
CAGUCGACUGCUACUUGAAUUAUCAAGGCAUUAAAUAUGUAUGCACAUAACUAGACGCGCGUAAUAUCAGUCACCCGCAUAUAUAGCACGUGUUUCAAAGUCGACAUAAGCACAUAGGUUACAUACAUGCAUUGUAUCCCCACUCUCGGUGACAUAUGAGCCAGCAAUGUUAACUACCUAUUCAAAUACACAAAUCACACACAUGGCUGAUCCCCACGUACGGUGGGUCACUACUUGUAUUAGCGACUCCACACGCUCGUCUUCCCGCACGGGAGGUAAAAUAGUACAGUACCGGUGCGGCUUCCGCACGAGUUAGAUGAAAUGUACGCACGCACAUUGAAACACGAUCCAAUUCCAGUAACGUAGACUCACACGACUCAAUGUGAGUCAGUUACGUGUUACGCCACCUCCAGAGAAACCUUUUAUUAUAUAUUUUAGAUAUUUUCAACGAAGUCGGCUAAAGAGCCGCGUCGUCUUUAGUCUUAUUGAAUUUGCGGCUCGCCAGGUCGAGGUGAUCCUGAAAACGAUCUGUGGGAAACUUUACGUUGCUGUGUGUAAAUCGAAUUCAACGAUUCCUCGAUAACUUUCAACUGCGUGGGUUAUUGACAAUGAACUUGAGUCGGAGCGAGUGUGAAUUUUUUGUUUGUUUUUAUAUACCGUGAAAGUGCGUGGAUAGUCGUGUUCUUCGUAUCGCGGUGGUAUGUAUACAGUUUACGCAAGGUGAAAAGUCGAGGAAUACCACGCAGAAAUGUCGGGCACUAUCAAGAGACGGAAGAGUUGGUACCAGAAAGCCGAGUCUGGUAUAAAGCUGGACACAUGGUUCGGUCGGCCGAAAAAAUCGGGUCGUGGGGGUGGGGUCAGAGGUGGCACUGGCCACAACACUAUCCCCCGCCCCCACUCUGGUGAUGACUUCAAUGAAAUCGAACAGCAGGCAUCCAUCAUUGAGAAUAUGGACGAGGAGACUAUGAAUGAUAAGUUUGAAGAGAUGCUGGCAAACAUGAACUUAACAGAAGAGAAAAAGGAACCGUUGCGACAGCAACCGGAGGAAAAGAAGAGAGCGAUGCUAGUCCUGCACUUUAAAGGCACCGUACAAGAAAACAAAUCGAAGUUUGACAAACCGGCGGAUUACAUACAGUACCUGGCUCAACCUGAUCUGAGCGUUAAUAAAAUCUACAAUUGCAUCGAAUCUCUCAGGAUUGCGCUCACGAAUAAUCCAUUGAGUUGGGUUCAAGAAUUUGGGACGAAAGGUCUUAAACAAGUUCUCGCCACACUUAACGAAUGCUAUCGAAAUGCCUUCAUAUGUUACGAUAGCGACAAUCGUUACGAACGAAUACAGUACGAAUGUAUUCGUUGCCUAAAAGCUAUAAUGAACAAUACCGUGGGAAUAAAGGAGAUGCUUGCACAUCAUGAAGCGCUGACGAUAGUGGCAAGAUCUUUGGAACCUAGUAAACCGUCAGUAAUGCACGAAGCUGUAAAACUUCUUGGUGCGGUCUGCCUUAUUUCAAGCGACAGCCACAAAAAAGUUCUGGAUGCUAUUACCAUGAAUGGAGAAUUCAAGGGAAGAGAGAGGUUCCUACCAAUUGUUCAGGGAUUAAUGAACAAGAAAAAUGAGAAUUUGAGGGUGGUAUGUCUUCAACUCAUCAAUUCGAUAAUCUCAUCCGCGGAAGACUUGGACUUCCGGUUGCACCUGCGAAACGAAAUAAUGCGAGUAGGACUAGCCGAUAUUCUCGAAACGUUGGAAGGAGACGAGUCUGAAGAUUUGUCAACCCACUUGAAAAUUUUUAACGACUACAAGGAGGAAGACUACGAGGAGUUUGUACAAAGAUUUGAUCAUGUGAGGUUGGAAUUAGAUGACGUUAAUGACUGUUUCGAAGUGGUGAAGAACAUGGUGAUGGAUACCAUGGCCGAGCCUUAUUUCCUGUCCAUUCUUCAACACCUACUCUUCAUCAGAGACGAUGCUUUAGUGAGGCCGGCUUAUUAUAAAUUAAUAGAGGAAUGCGUGUCGCAAAUCGUACUACACCGUUCGGGCUGUGAUCCAGAUUUUAGUGCAACGAAACGUUUUCAAAUAGACGUUCAGCCACUGAUCGAUACAUUAGUUGAAAAAUCGAAGGCUGAGGAUGACCGUCGCGUUGCAGAAAUGACACAGAAAUUAGAAGAAGCUAUUGCUAGCAAACAGGAAACGGAGGCGAAAUUGCAACAUGCUGAAAAUAAAAUCAAAGAAUUAGAACAAGGAACUGGUAGAUCAGGGAAUACGCCAGCUAAAGUUGGGGGUGGCCCCCCGCCUCCUCCUUUACCCGGUAUGAUUGGAGCACCUCCACCGCCUCCAAUGCCUGGCAUGGGUGGACCACCACCACCCCCCAUGCCAGGUAUGGGAGGCCCACCACCACCUCCAAUGCCAGGAAUGGGUGGUCCACCUCCACCACCAAUGCCUGGAAUGGGGGGUCCUCCGCCACCUCCUAUGCCAGGUAUGGGUGGUCCACCUCCACCUCCGAUGAUGGGAGGUCCCAGACCUCCAAUGCCUUUAGCGGUUCAAGUGCUACCACACGGAUUGAAACCCAAAAAGAAAUGGGAUUUGGAAGGUCCACUGAAGAGAGCCAAUUGGAAGGCAAUUUUACCGCAAAGGCUCACAGAAAAGUCGUUCUGGGUAAAAGUACAAGAGGAUAAACUCGCGAGUCCAGAUAUCCUCAAAGGUUUAGCUCAACAAUUUGCUUCAAAACCAUCAGGGCGGAAGAUUGAUGAUGUUGUUGACAAGUCUACUGGAACGAAAAAAGUUAAAGAUCUUAAAGUUCUUGACGGAAAGGCAGCACAAAACAUCUCUAUUCUUCUUGGUGGAACACUGAAACACAUGUCUUAUGAGGAAGUUAAAUCUUGCUUAUUGAGAUGCGAAGGUCCAGUAGUUUCAGAUAACGUUUUGCAGGGAUUAUUACAGUAUUUGCCGCCGCCUGAUCAACUCACAAAGUUACAGACUUAUAAAGAACAGUACGAGGAUUUAACUGAAGCUGAACAGUUUUGUGUAACGAUAUCAACCAUUAAGAGGUUACAGCCAAGACUGAAAUCAUUAAGUUUUAUGUUGCGUUAUGAAGAAUUAGUACAAGACGUGAAACCAGACAUUGUAGCUGGUACUGCAGCCUGCGAAGAGGUGAAGAGUAGCAAGAAGUUUGCGAAAAUUCUCGAAUUAAUUCUGUUACUUGGAAAUUAUAUGAAUUCUGGUUCGAAAAACGGUGAAGCUUUCGGCUUUGAAAUUAGUUUUCUUACAAAGCUUACGAGUACGAAAGACGUAGAUAAUAAACAGACCCUCAUGCAUUAUUUGGUAAAUACGAUAGAAAGAAAAUUCCCUGAGUGUGUAAGCUUCUCUGAGGAAUUGGCCCACGUCGACAGAGCAAGUCGUGUCUCGUUGGAACAAAUACAAGGCACACUUCGUCAAAUGGAUGCAAACUUGCGCAAUCUUGAGCAGGACCUUGCGAAUUCAAAAGUUCCGCAAAGUAACGAAGACAAGUUCGUCGAAGUUAUGACUCCAUUCGCUAAGAAAGCUAGAGAGUCGUAUGAGGUCAUGCAAAAUAUGUUCAAGAAUAUGGACAGUCUCUACACGGACAUUUCGGAAUUCUUUGCUUUCGAUAAGCAAAAAUAUACUAUCGAAGAAUUCUUUACUGAUAUUAAAACUUUUAAAGACAACUUCAUGCAAGCACAAAAGGAAAUAAUGAAGAUACGAGAAGGAGAAGAGAAGCAAAGAAGGGCUCGGGAAGCUCGGGAGAAAGCGGAAGCGGAACGUGCUGCUCGUGCAGAACGGAAACGUGCGUUAGUUGAUAUGAAUGCUCAUGAGACGCAGGAAGGUGUCAUGGAUAGUCUGAUGGAAGCUCUUCAAACAGGAUCUGCGUUUAGCAGGCCAGAUCAAAGACGUAAACGACAGACGCGUGCCGCUGGCGAAAUCGUUUAAAAUGGGUUGUCAGCAAAAAGAAGAGCACAACUGAACCGGAGUCGAUCGCGUACUGGACUGGUUGGAACCGGUUUAUUAGGAAGAGAAUUAUCCACAGAGCUCCUGAGCUAUUCAUAGCGAAUAAAAGAUUCCUGACUCCGUCCUAACUUUGAUGCUGUGAUGUUUUACGCUUGAGUCAAGCAAGCGUUUCGAAAAAACGCUGAAGCGAAGGUGAUCGAAAUAGGUGUUUCCAAUUGGACAGUGUCCAAUGAACGCACAAUCCGUCAUUAGAUUCCGAUAAUUGAUAUACCACCGUAGGCCUCUUAUAAAUAUUUUCAGCUGCAAUUAAGCCUUCAGUUCAAUCGGAUCUAUCGAAGUCUUCCCUGUGUUUCGCCGAGUGUCUGCCCACUUUGAAUCUUGUAUGUAAGCGUUAAAAAUUUAUUUAGUAAGAUUAUUGCAAACGCUUUUUGUGUAUUUGAUGAAGGGUAAGCUAUACUUUUCUUAUGAUAUUGUAAAAGGUAGCUUGGAAGAAUGCCAGUUAUCUAAAGGAAUAGUGUGCGAAGUACUAGCUUCUAUAUAUAAAUGCAUAUUUAUACCAGUACUUGUAUUCACGAGCGAAUAUUAAUAUUGUAAGUAGUUCUCAGCGAACGGCAUGUUUUACUGAAUGCGAAUGAAUGACAAGGAUGUAGUUUAAGCUGAAAUUCACAACGAGGGAUAAGGUAUAUACGUAUGUGGCUGUCGUAGCCGCUAGAUAUUAAGGAUAGCAUUGUUACUGAAAAGAAUCAAUCUUUUUCCAUCUACUUUAUUUAAUUUUAUUUUUUGUAAAUUCUUUUAUGAUAACUUGCACUCUUUCUCCUUCCACAUACUUUACACUUUUCUGACUAAUGCGAAAGUUAUGUAUAUAGUGCAAUUUACCAGCAGGUGUUUAUCCUGCGCUGGCACAAAUGCCUUUAUUUUUUAACGAGAGAGAGCCUUUUAUAUUUUUUAUGAAAAGUAAUUUUUUUCUUUGCAUUCAGCUAUAAUCUUGACGGUCGCGGUUAGAUUAUGCAAGGCGAUUAAAUACAAUUUUCUCGGUAUAAUGUAUAUGAACGCGCAACAUGUCAAUUGCUAUUGCAAGCUGAAUAUGAACUGCCACGACUUGUUUCAGGCACGACUGUACUGAUUAACUAAAUUCGAAUAUAUAAAAGUCUAAUUACUAAUACGAUUUGUAAUUGUCUUUUUUAAAAGAAAGAUUGUAAAUCUCAUACUGCCAGAUAUACCUUAUACACAAUAUCUCUAUAACAUCUGGUUAUUGUGCCAAAUUUAGUAGGAAAACAAAGUAUUUGGUAGUGCUGUCAGUCAAUCUAUUAAUUCAUGAGUACAAUAUAAGCAUGGCGUUUGAAAAAAAAUUCGAUACUGUUGUUCAAAAAAGAAAGAAGUGUAUAUAGAGCUUAUUCGAUUCUGUGAAAGUUUCUAGUAUAAACUUACGAUCGUGCCUACAAUUUAAUCUGUUGUAAUAAUAAAUUUAUUUUUUGAAUCUCAAAA